RNAcentral lists this ribosomal RNA (478 nucleotides) under uncultured bacterium. RNAcentral describes it as "partial 16S ribosomal RNA". It matches the Rfam family "Bacterial small subunit ribosomal RNA", at positions 28 to 507 of the family's 1533-position model. The record is from RNAcentral.
GAUGAACGCUGGCGGCGUGCUUAACACAUGCAAGUCGAACGGGAAACCUUUUAUUGAAGCUUCGGCAGAUUUAGCUGGUUUCUAGUGGCGGCCGGGUGAGUAACGCGUGGGUAACCUGCCUUCUACAGGGGGCUAACAACCAGAAAUGGUUGCUACUACCGCAUAAGCGCACAGGACCGCAUGGUCCGGUGGGAAGCACUCCGGUGGUAUAAGAUGGACCCGCGUUGGAUUAGCUAGUUGGCAGGGUAACGGCCUACCAAGGCGACGAUCCAUGGCCGGCCUGAGAGGGUGAACGGCCACAUUGGGACUGAGACACGGCCCAGACUCCUACGGGAGGGAGCAGUGGGGAAUAUUGCACAAUGGGGGAAACCCUGAUGCAGCGACGCCGCGGGAAGGAAGAAGUAGCUCGGUAUGUAAACUUCUAUCAGCAGGGAAGAUAGUGACGGUACCUGACUAAGAAGCACCGGCUAACUACGUG